UUUUUUUUUUUUUUUUUUUUGCCUUUUCUAGGGCCGCUCCUGCGGCAUAUGGAGGUUCCCAGGCUAGGGGUCCAAUUGGAGCUGUAGCCGCCGGCCUACGCCAGAGCCACAGCAACGCAGGAUCCAAGCCACAUCUGCAACCUACACUACAGCUCACGGCAACACCGGAUCCUUAACCUACUGAGCAAUGCCAGGAUCGAACCCGCAACCUCAAGGUUCCUAGUCAGAUUCAUUAACCACUGCGCCACGACGGGAACUCCGCCAUUCUAUUGUUUUAAAGGCAAAUAUCUCAUUUUCCCAGUGACAUGAUAACCUCUCUGAACACUAGACCCAUAUUCCAAAGUAUCAUUUAUGGCCUAUAAAACGUCUAACUAGUUCCAAACAUUCAAUAAGGUUUUCCACAAACAUUUUAAAUGAAUGAAUGGGUGAAUAUGUUGAAAAAAAAUUCCUAUAAAUUAAUUUUGAAAUAGCCCCCACACAGUCAAUAACUAAUGCUAGAUCAAAAGAACUCUAAUAAAGCAGUUCAGAACUAAACUGGAAACCUUAGAGAAUUUAUCACUGGUUCCACUCCCAACCCAAACUUGCUCCUCCUUUUGUGUGCUUUCUCUGCAAGAGGUACCUCUUUCUAGAGAGACAACUCUAUCAAGAGAGAGCCAACACCACCCCCAGUUUCGAUGGUUCCUAAGGACAGAUAAGCAUGGUCAUACUCAAGGCUGUGACGUAUUACACUGAAAGGACACCAAGCACAAUCAGCAAAGGGAAAAGGAAACCAACGAAAUGCAAGGUUUCAAGGGUCCUCUCCCAGGAGAGUCACCAAGGAGUGCACACUUCCUCUUGCAAAGAAUUGUGAUUACACCUGUGGCAUUCAGUCAAACAGAAGCUUGGACUCAGCAGCCAGGGCGUUCCCGGGGGGGCUGGUCACACAGACAGCCUCUGUCCAAUUUCAGACUCCCAGAAGGACAGCGGGUCCUCCGCAAGAACUACAGGGUUUGUGCAAACAGCUUCACAUGGUUGAGCCACUCUUAGGAGAUACAGGGAAAACCAUCCUGAAACCUAAGUUCCCAGAUGUCGGCCAAGGACCAACCUUGCAAGUGGCCCUUUCCAGGGACAGCACAUCCGGCUCUGCUGCCCCAAACUAGAAUGACCUCAGUUCCUGCUUCUUCCUCACUGUCCCUCAUCCGUUGAAGGCCGAACCGGUCAGUUCUGGCCCUUAGUAAUGCCUGCAUCCACCCCUUCUCCCGGCCUAUCCCCACUCUGGUCCAGACCUCAGUCAUUCCUUACUCGAAUCCCUGCCGUAAGUCCCAUCUGGUUCCCGGCCUAUGCUCCACUCCAUUUGUCGGGAUCUUAUCAGGACCAACGCCUUGAUGUCUUCAUCUUGUAACCGAGCAGGGCCCUAUGGGGCUCCCAGGAACACAAGCCUUUCCGCGUCCUCCAUUGCUUGUUUUUAGCGAAUGAGCCUCAGCCUCCAUGCCCUUCCCUGAGUUUCCAAAGGGCAGUUGCUCAUCAGGAAAGGGAGGGGGUAGAGACCAGGGAGGAGCCAUCAAGACACAAUAGUGCAGCCUCAGGGCAGGGUCCUGGCUCCUCCUUAAGGAAUAUACAGAACAAUAGCUUUGAUUCUUUCUGCAGAACUGAAACCCCCAGCAAAAGGAAGAACUACCUGAUGAAGCGUCUUCAUUCCAGGAAGGAGGAGGACCAGCAGAGCCAGUCCUGGGGCCACUAAACACCAGCUUUGAAAGACAAUGCAAGCUUGCUUCUACCAGGAUCCUUAUCUAAGGGCCUAUUUCCAUGCCCCAAACUAUAAAACCACCUCCUAAUCUCUCCGGAGAGGGGGCACAGUCUUUAAGGCUGGGCCCUUAAAGGUCCUGCUGUGACCCUCUCUAGCAAAGCCAUAAAGCUAUCGGUUUCUCCUUUCCCCAAAACUCUUGUCUCUACAUUUCUAUUCAGCACCAGUGGACAGAGGUUGAGUUUUGGCAACAAUCUCCUGCCCUCUAUCACCAUUUUUGGAGGGUUCUCCUGAGGUCAGCUUUAUCUCUCAGUUUUGGGAGGAGGACACAGACUCUGGGGUGUUGCAUUAUUCAUGCUGUCCUCUUUGUACUGGCUUUGUUCAAAAGCUAAAGCCAAACAUGGGGUCGAUCUCCUGGGACCGGUGCAUGGAAUCUGGACCCCAAUCCCAAAUCUGCUUUCAACUCAUUUUCCUUCCUUCAUCUUUUAUCCUGAUUACUUCAUUUAUGCUUUAUCUGUUUGUAUUCUCCUUUUAUUCUUCUCUUUAGGGGGCAUGGGUGUGGCAUAUGGAGGUUCCCAGGCUAGGGGUCAUAUUGGAGCUACAGUUGCCGGUAGUCUACACCACAACCACAGCAACCAAUCCCCUGAGCCACACCAGGGAUCGAACCCAAAUCAUCAUGGAUCCUAGUCGGAUUCGUUACGGCUGAGCCACGAAGGGAACUCCUGUUUUUUCUUUUUUACUUAGAUUCUUUCUAGAACAAGGCAGAAUAUAAAGUCCAGAGAGAGGAAAACACUAUCCCAUUUUUCUCUAGAAGAAGUGAACCCUUAGUGUUCCUCGGCCACCCAUUCCUAGCUGAAUCUGAGUCAGUGUAGGCGCAUGGGCUUUGAUGCAUUCUUUGAUGUGGCCACUGAUGAACAUUUGUGGCUUAAGGGCUCCGGGGAGUAACAUCCCCACAGGCCUUGUUUACUGUAGGGAGUGUGCCUACCCCCAGAUGGACAUGAAUCCCUAGCCCCCUGAGACUCAGUUUAAAGGAGGAAAAGGGCAAAGAAGCUAUGAGACUUACGGGUCAUUUCCACCCCUAAGACCCUAUUGGACAAGGAUUGAUAGAGGUAACUGGGCAAGGCCAAUGGGAGAAAGCCACAUCUUUCUGGACCCCACGUUGGUACCCCCUCAUCUUUAAGAGAUAAAAUCCCCCAUAGGACAAUAGAGAAAGGGGGGCUUUUCUCCCCUCUCCCAGCAGCCCUGGGAGCUAUCUGCUUCCCUUUCAUAAAGACUUUGCUUGCUUGCUGCCUGUGUGUUCGCGGAAUUCAUUCUUCAACUGCCGUGAACAAGAAUCCAGAUUCCGGUAUCAUCUUUCCAGUAUCAAAAGUAAUAUAAAGCACAUCUUACAGAAGGAAAUCUUUUCCUUCUGGUUCUGCAGCUCAACUUCAUGCAAUUAAGUCAAACAAAGGCAAGCAUAGGUGGGCCCACAGUUUCCUCCCAAGGUUUAGAAAUGAAACUCAAGCAAGUCCAGAUGUGUACCUCGCUUUAUUCAGUACAUGCACUGCUAAAAAGCUAUGUGUAAUGUGAGCUGUGUAAACAAUCACACAAAAAAACUUUUUUUUGUCUUUUUAGGACCUUCUAGGGCUGCAGCCUAUGGAGGUUGCCAGGCUAGGGGCUGAAUCAGAGCUAUAGUCAGUCGCUGGCCUACGCCACAGCCACAGCAACACCAGAUCUGAACCACAUCUGCAACCUAUACUGCAGCUCAUGACAACGCCGGAGCCUAAACCCACUGGGCGAGGCCAGGGAUCAAACCUGCCUCCUCAUGGAUACUCGUUGGGUUUGUUACUGCUGAGCCACGAUGAGAACUCCCAACAGAAUCCAAAUUUAAAUUUCCUUGAGAUGCUCACAAUUGAGAGGAAUGCUGGGACACAUCAGUGAAGUCACACUAGGGCAAAGGGAGUGAUCAUCUCACCAUGUUCCAACUUGGCGAUGCCGCAUUUACAGACGGAGGCUCUUUAAAACUGUCCUGUGCGAAAACCCUGCUCGGACUCUACUGGGUAUAAACACACAAGCCUCUUCACGCGUUUCCUCACCUCUAAGCAGAAAUCAAAUUCAAAAUCAGCAAGAGAAAUCAAAUUAAUAGGACAUACGGAGACACUGUUAUCACCAAAUUCACACCAGAGAUGAUUAGCACCUCAAAUGUGAGAAUGAGCUCAGAGCUCUGUUCAUGUCUGCCCCCCACGCCCGCCCCCGACAGACACGCCUUGACAGCAUCCUAAGUAAAAUACUGUGCUGAGUGUCCAAUGGGAUUCAAGGUAACUAAGGUACAGUUCUUGUCCUCAAGGAACUUGAAUGCCUAUUUCAUGAGCAAACUCAUGCAGUUCCAUCCCUCCCUCCCUCUUCUUUCAUUAUGAUAAGAAUAUCUAACUACUAUUGACAUCAGAUGAUUUUUUUUCCAGUUUCUUUUUUUUUUUUUAAUUUAUUUUUGGGCCACAUCCAAGGCAUGCAGCAUUUCCCUGGCCAGGGAUCAAACCCACACCACAUCAGUGACAAAUGUCAGAUCCUUAAUCCACACAGCCACCAAAAAGCUCCACAAGUUAUUGUCUUUAUUUUUUUCCCUCCUUUAUAUCUGCUUUUAUUUCAUAAACACCCAGCAGGAGACAGGUUUCAUGAAUUUGCUUUUUAAAAUUCCUAACAACUACAAAGCUUCAUAGAGGGAGGACAGAACAUACAGGGUUGGGAGGGAAAAAAAAAGAAAACCCUGAAGAAGAUUCAAAGCUUUUGUCACCAGAACAGUAUCUAAAUUUAAUACAUAAUCUUACUGUUAGGAUGGCGGAGUCGAGAGAAACAGAGGCUGGAGCAGUGAGAUCACAAGCAGGUUUAUGGACCAACACAGUGGCCGGGAGCACCGAGCAGGGAGAACUCAGGCUCCCCACUAUUGGGGCAAGGGCUUUUUUAUAGCUAGGGUUUCGUGGGAUGGAUCACAGAGGCUCAAGGGGAAUGGGGAAGAGAGCUUGAGAAACGCAGAGGGAGGAUUUAGGUCUUAGGUGUGAGUUUCAGUAGUCUUUUUGGCUCUGUUCAUUUUGAGGUUUCAACAGCUCCUUAACUUAUCUUGGUCCUGGAGCCUUCAUCCUGCCGGCAUCUGUUUUUCCUGUUGGUUUGCUCCGCUGACAAGGUGUCUGGAGCCUGGGUGGGAUCUUGAUGGCGUGGUGUUUUCUGUCCUCCAUUUAGUGUUCUCUCUCCAGUUUAUAGACCCCAACACUUACUAGUUUUUGGGGUUUUUUUUGUCUUUUGUCUUUUUAGCCCCCACUCCCCCACCUGGCAUAUGGAGGUUCCCAGGCUAGGGGUCGAAUCAGACCUGUAGCCGCCGGCCUACAGCCACAGCCACGCCAGAUCUUAGCCACAUCUGCGACCUACACCAUAGCUCACGGCAACGCCGUUCCUUUACCUGCUGAGCAAGGCCAGGGAUGGAACCCUCAACCUCAUGGUUCCCAGUCGAUUCGUUUCCGCUGCGCCACGACGGGAACUUCAACACUUACUAGUUUUAAUUACAGGAUGAAAACUCUGAAUUAAUUACAGAUUUGAAUUUUUAAAGUAGUUCAGUUUAUCUCAAGUACGAAAGACAGUAAUUCAAACUGCGCUAAUCAAAGGUGGCUCAGUGGACAUCCUAAGAGGUUUAGUUUUAAUGAAUUAAUAGAUUUAUGAUUCACUUCUCAACAACUUGACUAUAAACACGAUAUUUUAGAAAGGAUCUGAAAAUUGUUCUUUAAUGUCGGUUAAAAAUCCGUCUUGGAGAGUUCCUGUCAUGGCUCAACAGUUAACGAACCCAAAUAGCAUCCAAGAGGACGCAGGCUCAGUCCCUGGCCUCACUCAGUGCAUUGGGGAUCUGACGUUGCUGUGAGCUGUGGUGUAGGUGGCAGGCAAGGCUCGGAUCCCGAGUUGCUGUGGUGUGGUGUCGGCUGGUGGCUACAGCUCCAAUUCCACCCCUGGGAACCUGGGAACCUCCAUGUGGCCACAGGUGUGGAGGAAAAGGCAAAAGAAAAAAGAAUCAGUCUUGGAGUUCCCCUUGUGCUGCAGCAUAAAUGAACCCGACUAGAAUCCAUGAAGAUGAGGGUUCGAUCCCUGCCGUUACUCAGUGGGUUAAGGAUCCAUGAGCUGUGGUGUAGGUCACAGAGGCCAGCCCCUAGCAUGGGAACUUCCUUAUGCUGUGGGUGAGGCCCUAAAAAAAAAUAAAUCAUCUUUUUAGUAUGGUAACAGAUGGAAACCAAAUUCUGGGGAGUGAGCACAAUGCAGUGUAUACAAAAGUAGAAACAGAAUGUAUACAUAGAGUAUAUAACAUUAUAAACCAAUGUAUCUCAAUUUUUUAAAGGUAUAAAAAAAGAAUCAGUCUUUUCAUACUUUUUACAUUACUCUUUUUGUCUUCAAAUAAUUUUUCCAAACAGUGAAAAGAUAAAUUUUAGCCAGUUUAUAUCCAAAAUAACAACAAUUUCUAAAUAAGUAUGACCAAAUGGAAAAUAUCUUGUGAAUAAAUCUGGCAAUGGACUUAGCUGUUCUUUCAGUUGCUCAAUAAAAUUUGAGCCCAAUUCUAAAUUUACAAGCAAAUAUUUUCUAAAAUAUCUGAUAGGUGUGUUUUUAAAUCCUUGUUAACUGUUUAAAAGUUCCUUAGGUUGUCACACCUGUUAUAUCUGCAUAUACUUAACCUACUCAUAGAUAUUUAUGCUAAUUCAUUAGCUCCCUCAGGGUGGGAAGGGCCGACUUUAUCGUCUUAGAGCACUGAUGCAUGGCUUCCCGGGUCAGAGACAAAUAAAUCUUUUAGUAUAAUUGCGGUUGCUUUAUGUGCCGCUGUCUCCCUGCUGGGAAAAAUGUUAAAAUAUUUAAGGUUUACUAUCUCCUGUGAGGGUGCUUGUAUAAUUAAAAUGUGGGAUGGGAGGAGAGAAUGGCAGAAUUUAAUACUUGCUUUUAGUUGGAAUAAGUUAGUUUGAAUUAGUAAACUUUGAGAGAGAGUCGAUAGAAGGACAAGUUUUGCUGAAGAAGAGCUGGCAGCGUCGUUUUGAGAUCUCUGCGACAGUCCUUUGGAUUCAGACUAGCUCAGGUAGGAUAGAGGUAGAACUGGGGGAUAGGUAUGGCACAGAGAUCACGAUUCCUGUCCAUGUUAAACUAAACUAAACCCUAUCAUCAGUGCUCACACACACCAAGCCUUCAUACCACAUCUGCUUUUACCUUUCUCCUCCGUAUCUGUCUACACACCUGAAGAGCAGGUGGGAAAGCAGUUUUGUCCUUAAUAAGCACAUGAUUUUGGAGUUCCCAUGGUGGCUCAGUGGUUAACGAACCUGGCUAGGAACCAUGAGGUUGCGGGUUUGAUCCCUGGCCUUGCUCAGUGGGUUAAGGAUCCAGUGUUGCCGUGAGCUGUGGUGUAGGUGGCAGACGCGGCUCGGAUGCCACGUUGGUGUGGCUCUGGCGUAGGCCGGUGGCUAUGGCUCCGAUUGGACCCCGAGCCUGGGAACCUCCAUAUGCUGUGAGAGUGGCCCCAGAAAUGGCAAAAAAAAAGACAAAUAAAUAAAUAAAUAAAAAAUAGGCACAUGAGUUUGAGCUGAACUAUCCGACUGCAGAGAUUCUUCAAAUUCUUCAUCUUGGCCUUGCUCUGCAGACUUGUGCUUCCCAGUACAACCAAUAGAUACGCCUCGGCUCACCAAUUCCCUCCCAGGGCCCACAGCCUUGGGGUUCUCCAAGGAAAAUAGAGUUCCAUCUCACACCUAAGAAGGAUGACUUACUCCUGGAUGUGAAUCCAACGAGCAAGAUUAUUUUUCUUUGAAACAUAAUUCAGUCAAUAACCUGAUUUCAUUCUAGUCGCUUAUCCUGUUUGAAGGGAAAGCAUGUGCAUAAGAGCAGCCUGCAAGAGAAACCAGAGUUUUCCAGUGCACAUUACGGUCUGUGCACUGUGCCCCGGAGAGGGCUGGAUCAGUCAGCAUCAUGGGGCAGGAAAAACGCAAACGGUUAUAAAGGCCACACACUCCAGUGACAGCUACGCUGCUGCAGCCAGAAGAGGAGCAAAUGGUCCUUAGUAAGACCCUAUUUGGGGGAAGAAGAGACUGUGCAGAGGGUCCAAGAGAAUGACUCUGUGGUUUGCAAUUGGCUAGUCAAUUCUCAACAUAAGUGAAUCCAGCAGACAUGAUUGUUUAGAAAAGCAAUUAAACACGGUUCAAUCUUUCUUGGUUAAUUAAGGGAUUUUCAUCUGGAGGUGUGGCUGGAGGAAGGAGCCUCCUGGAAACCAGGAUCUGAAAGAAGUGUUAAGUGUGAAAAAAAAUCAGUUCCAGAUGAUUCUGUUUAUAUCCAGACUAUUACAUCUAGACACUGGAAAUUAAACUAUAGGUCAGCAAAAAAAAAAAAAACAAAAA
RNAcentral lists this long non-coding RNA (8100 nucleotides) under Sus scrofa (pig). RNAcentral describes it as "lncRNA (ENSSSCG00040024923.1)". The record is from RNAcentral. Lineage: Eukaryota; Metazoa; Chordata; Mammalia; Artiodactyla; Suidae.